GGCGGACGGGUGAGUAAUGCUUGGGAACUUGCCUUUGCGAGGGGGAUAACAGUUGGAAACGACUGCUAAUACCGCAUAAUGUCUACGGACCAAAGGGGGCUUUUAGCUCUCGCGUGAAGAGAGGCCCAAGUGAGAUUAGCUAGUUGGUGAGGUAAAGGCUCACCAAGGCGACGAUCUCUAGCUGUUCUGAGAGGAAGAUCAGCCACACUGGGACUGAGACACGGCCCAGACUCCUACGGGAGGCAGCAGUGGGGAAUAUUGCACAAUGGGGGAAACCCUGAUGCAGCCAUGCCGCGUGUGUGAAGAAGGCCUUCGGGUUGUAAAGCACUUUCAGUUGUGAGGAAAGGUUGGUAGUUAAUACCUGCCAGCUGUGACGUUAACAACAGAAGAAGCACCGGCUAACUCCGUGCCAGCAGCCGCGGUAAUACGGAGGGUGCGAGCGUUAAUCGGAAUUACUGGGCGUAAAGCGCACGCAGGCGGUUUGUUAAGCUAGAUGUGAAAGCCCCGGGCUCAACCUGGGAUGGUCAUUUAGAACUGGCAGACUAGAGUCUUGGAGAGGGGAGUGGAAUUCCAGGUGUAGCGGUGAAAUGCGUAGAGAUCUGGAGGAACAUCAGUGGCGAAGGCGACUCCCUGGCCAAAGACUGACGCUCAUGUGCGAAAGUGUGGGUAGCGAACAGGAUUAGAUACCCUGGUAGUCCACACCGUAAACGCUGUCUACUAGCUGUGUGUGUAUUUUAUACGUGCGUAGCGAAGCUAACGCGCUAAGUAGACCGCCUGGGGAGUACGGCCGCAAGGUUAAACUCAAAUGAAUUGACGGGGGCCCGCACAAGC
RNAcentral lists this ribosomal RNA (831 nucleotides) under uncultured bacterium. RNAcentral describes it as "bacterial SSU rRNA". It matches the Rfam family "Bacterial small subunit ribosomal RNA", at positions 97 to 930 of the family's 1533-position model. The record is from RNAcentral.